RNAcentral lists this ribosomal RNA (2132 nucleotides) under Histophilus somni. Its description in RNAcentral is "23S ribosomal RNA". It matches the Rfam family "Bacterial large subunit ribosomal RNA", at positions 910 to 2925 of the family's 2925-position model. The record is from RNAcentral. Lineage: Bacteria; Pseudomonadati; Pseudomonadota; Gammaproteobacteria; Pasteurellales; Pasteurellaceae.
CUGUUUCGGCUAGGGGUCCAUCCCGGAUUACCAACCCGAUGCAAACUGCGAAUACCGAAGAGUAAUGCAUAGGAGACACACGGCGGGUGCUAACGUUCGUCGUGGAGAGGGAAACAACCCAGACCGCCAGCUAAGGUCCCAAAGUUUAUAUUAAGUGGGAAACGAGGUGGGAAGGCAUAGACAGCUAGGAUGUUGGCUUAGAAGCAGCCAUCAUUUAAAGAAAGCGUAAUAGCUCACUAGUCGAGUCGGCCUGCGCGGAAGAUGUAACGGGGCUGAAAUAUAGCACCGAAGCUGCGGCAUCAGGAGCAACAUUAAUGGUUUUUAGGUAACGACUCACGAAGGGAGUGAGUUGGUUGAGUAAACGAAGGUUGAGUUGGAUUGAGAAGCGACAAGAAUCAUUAAUGUUGCUCCUGUUGGGUAGGGGAGCGUUGUGUAAGCGGAAGAAGGUAAAUUGAGAGGUUUGCUGGACGUAUCACAAGUGCGAAUGCUGACAUAAGUAACGAUAAAACGGGUGAAAAACCCGUUCGCCGGAAGACCAAGGGUUCCUGUCCAACGUUAAUCGGGGCAGGGUGAGUCGGCCCCUAAGGCGAGGCUGAAAAGCGUAGUUGAUGGGAAACGGGUUAAUAUUCCCGUACUUUGAUAAACUGCGAUGUGGGGACGGAGAAGGUUAGGUUAUCGACCUGUUGGAUGGUCGUUUAAGCCUGUAGGUGGGAAGAUUAGGCAAAUCCGGUCUUCUAUUAAACGCUGAGGGGUGAAGAGGAGUUUCUAAGGAGACGAAGUAACUGAUACCACGCUUCCAGGAAAAGCCACUAAGCGAAAGGUUUAUUGGAACCGUACUGAAAACCGACACAGGUGGUCAGGUAGAGAAUACUCAGGCGCUUGAGAGAACUCGGGUGAAGGAACUAGGCAAAAUGGCACCGUAACUUCGGGAGAAGGUGCGCUUACGGUAAUUGUAGCCCUUUACGGGUGAAGGUGAAGUAAGCCGAAGAUACCAGCUGGCUGCAACUGUUUAUUAAAAACACAGCACUCUGCGAACACGAAAGUGGAAGUAUAGGGUGUGAUGCCUGCCCGGUGCUGGAAGGUUAAUUGAUGUUGUAAUCGAAAGAGAAGCAGCUGAUCGAAGCCCCAGUAAACGGCGGCCGUAACUAUAACGGUCCUAAGGUAGCGAAAUUCCUUGUCGGGUAAGUUCCGACCUGCACGAAUGGCAUAAUGAUGGCCAGGCUGUCUCCACCCGAGGCUCAGUGAAAUUGAAAUCGCCGUGAAGAUGCGGUGUACCCGCGGCUAGACGGAAAGACCCCGUGAACCUUUACUAUAGCUUGACACUGAACAUUGAAUAUUGAUGUGUAGGAUAGGUGGGAGACGAAGAAGUGUGAACGCCAGUUUGCAUGGAGUCGGUGUUGAAAUACCACCCUUUAAUGUUUGAUGUUCUAACGAAGUACCUGAGACGGGUACUCGGACAGUGUCUGGUGGGUAGUUUGACUGGGGCGGUCUCCUCCCAAAGAGUAACGGAGGAGCACGAAGGUUUGCUAAUGACGGUCGGACAUCGUCAGGUUAGUGCAAUGGUAUAAGCGAGCUUAACUGCGAGACGGACAAGUCGAGCAGGUGCGAAAGCAGGUCAUAGUGAUCCGGUGGUUCUGAAUGGAAGGGCCAUCGCUCAACGGAUAAAAGGUACUCCGGGGAUAACAGGCUGAUACCGCCCAAGAGUUCAUAUCGACGGCGGUGUUUGGCACCUCGAUGUCGGCUCAUCACAUCCUGGGGCUGAAGUAGGUCCCAAGGGUAUGGCUGUUCGCCAUUUAAAGUGGUACGCGAGCUGGGUUUAGAACGUCGUGAGACAGUUCGGUCCCUAUCUGCCGUGGGCGUUGGAGAAUUGAGGGGGGCUGCUCCUAGUACGAGAGGACCGGAGUGGACGCAUCACUGGUGUACCAGUUGUUUCGCCAGAAGCAUUGCUGGGUAGCUAAAUGCGGGAGAGAUAAGUGCUGAAAGCAUCUAAGCACGAAACUUGCCUUAAGAUGAGUUCUCCCUAACGAAGAGUUAGUAAGGGAUGUUUGAGACUAAGACGUAGAUAGGUGGGGUGUGUAAGUGUAGUGAUAUAUUGAGCUAACCCAUACUAAUUUCCCGAGGGGCUUAACCAU